CCGCUCCAGCUCCACUUUAACACGGACCAUAUCGUACCUAAAAAGAUAAAAUUACACAGAAACGGCGAAAUGAAAUCAGAAGGAGCAGCUAAAUUCGGAUGCCUUGGUUACGUGAAAUUCAAACGGGCUGAAAGGAUAUCGAGGACAACACCUCCUUUAAGUGGCCCAACCAGCCCCUUGCGGUUACCGCUCCAAUUUGGCUGGGACAGAGAAAUUAAAAUGACGAGAAGAUUUUGACCGUUGAGCGGAUCCGAUUUCGACGAGGAGCAGUUAAGAAUGAACCCAACGAAGAAAUUGAAAUAAGUGGAUUCUACCAAGUGGAUGCAGUCCGUCCCAGAAGUGAUUUGCAGACAGAGAGAUUAUCAUAGAAUGUAACCAACGUCAUCAACCUCAUUGGUAUGCAUAUAAUUUGCGCCCAUGAAAAUAUCCUGGCAAUGGUCGUAACAUUUUCUAGGUUGAGCCGUGAUUCUCUUUGUGGCGUAUGGACCUGUUGAAGUAGAAGCCAUAACGUCGAGUUCUUUUAUCACCAGUACUUCAACGAUAACCGUGACAUCUACUGAAAAGAGCAUUUGUGGGAAAUUGAUCAACGUCACGGCCGCCUGUCGUCGACGCCGAAAUUUUGAAUUCGAAAGGCCCGAAAUUUUAACAUUCGAUGAAGGUAUCGACGAGGACAUCGAUCUGGCCUUCAGUAACUUUUACAAACAAUUUGUUCCCACCAAGACUUUGAGUAUGGAAGUGACGCCGUUGGUCGUGUUGCCUCCUCGCAUUUCAUCCGGACGUAAUCCAACGAUCGCCAGCCAUCAUUUCGGACUGCGGACGUCUUAUCCCAUGUACCCGAUGGGUAGUCGGAACAAGAGCCCCAAUAUCCACCCAAGUAUCUACCCCCACCAAGAUGAGGCGAAACUUCAGCAGCAACAACUUCUCAAUCAGCAGCGCAUAUUUUUCUCCGCUCUCUCCCUGGCCAACGUGUUCAGCAGGACCACCGUUACAUUCACUACAUUCAAAACGGAAACAAAGACGGAAGUGUCGACUUCCAAAGCCACUUUUUUCGUCGUCGGCUGCACACCGAAUCCCUUCCCCUUCAGCGUUUGCUCAGCUAAACGUUAAAUGUUUUCGAAUCUUGAUUGGCAAAUUAUUUGUUUUGGAACACUUGCAUGAUUAACAGACUUUAUUUAUCUUUAUUUAUCAAAGUUUUUUUUUAAUCAUUAUUAUUCUUCUUUAAUUAUUAUCCAGUUUUCAUUAUGGACUGCCUUUAAAUUAUUGUGCUAUUAUUCCAAAUCUGCCAAUUAUAUUAAAUCUAGAAACAAAA
Daphnia pulex (common water flea) is the source of this 1309-nucleotide RNA transcript. RefSeq lists it as uncharacterized. The record is from RefSeq and is a predicted model, not a curated record. Lineage: Eukaryota; Metazoa; Arthropoda; Branchiopoda; Diplostraca; Daphniidae. The transcript is spliced from 7 exons.